GUCCACGCUGUAAACGAUGAGUGCUAAUUCUGGGAAUUUAUUUCUGGGGUAAAGCUAACGCGUUAAGCACUCCGCCUGAGUAGUACGAUCGCAAGAUUAAAACUCAAAGGAAUUGACGGGGGCCCGUACAAGCGGUGGAGCAUGUGGUUUAAUUCGAUGAUAACCGAAGAACCUUACCAGCCCUUGACAUGUACAUUGGGACUACACGAAAGUGGGUUUUCAUUUAGUUGGGUGUACACAGGUGUUGCAUGGCUGUCGU
Molecule: ribosomal RNA, 259 nt
Filed under: uncultured bacterium
Lineage: Bacteria
Description: partial 16S ribosomal RNA
Rfam family: Bacterial small subunit ribosomal RNA
Source: RNAcentral